Pyrus x bretschneideri (Chinese white pear) is the source of this 1507-nucleotide long non-coding RNA. RefSeq lists it as uncharacterized. The transcript has 2 exons. The record is from RefSeq and is a predicted model, not a curated record. Lineage: Eukaryota; Viridiplantae; Streptophyta; Magnoliopsida; Rosales; Rosaceae.
AUUUAGAUUUCAAUUAAACUAGUUACGAAGAGUGAAGUUUGGAAAAUUAUUUUUUUUACUCGUUGACCUUUUGAGGUCAUAAGUAACGUUUUCGAAUCGGUCUUGAAGCCACGUGAGCAUAGGCGAAAGCUGUUUAUGAGUCCGAAUUAUAGCGGUAUAGUUAUGGACGUUUGAAGUGGUGAUACUAUAGAUUUUAAGAUUUAAUUAUCUCCCACUUUGUGGGUAAGAGGCCCAGAUCAAUAUGGGGUUAAGGGGACCAUCGGAAAUGAAAAAAAAAAAAAAAAAAAAAGAGGGGAAACAACGAAUGAGGAGGAAAAGGAAAAGAAAAAGGGAAAAAGAAACAAAAAAAAGGAAGAAACCUCCCUUCCCGUCUGUGCACCCGCGCCCCCAUCUGAGCAAAUUUCGGCGAUUUUCGUCAUCUUUUCCGUUGAACCACUACCAUACAACACCUGCAAUUUCUUCUACAACAUCCCUUCUACUAUUUCCACCCAAGAUUGUGGGUUUUUAGGUCAAAAAUCGUGAAGAACUGUGCGAGGAAACCGGAGGUGUUUGACGGCGAUUCCACCGUUCCGGUGAGUUUCACCACCCACCACCACCCUUAGUCAACUUCCCUUGGACCCAGAAACAAGACCCGAUAGGUUGUAGGGGUGUUGGAACACCAAGGAAGUCGAAUUGAAGAACACCCACCUUAGGAUUCCGGCGGUUCGUGGCCAGUUUGGGGUGUUUUUCGGCCAAAUUGGCCUUAGCAGCAGUGGUUCAUGGAUGGUCCUGCUUGGUAUAUCCGCAAUGGGGGACCAUAUGUAUUCAAAGGUGAUCAUGCUUGGUAUAUCCGCGAUGGGUGAUCAUUGCCUGCACGAUGAGUUUAUGCCCUAUGGUCCUACUUGGUAUAUCCGCGAUGGGGGACUAUACGCAUUCUAGAGGUGAUGAUGAUUAGUUGUACAUGGUAUAUUUUUAGGCGAUCAUAUUUGGUUUGGUUCCGUUGAGUGGUUUGGAACCCGAGGUUGUUGAAUUUCAUGGAGUGGCCUAAAAUCCUUUGUUUGGAGAAGUAGGCGUGGCCUAACCGUGUCACUCUAGCCUUAGUUAUAUAUAUAUAUAUAUAUAUAUUUUUUUUUUUUGUGACAAUGGUUUCGGGAGUCUUGUGAAUUGAGUUAGAAAAGAUGUUGGACGUCUGAGUGAUUCCUUCGGGAUUUCUAUGAUUCGAUUAUGAUUUCAUAAGGUAUGAAUUUAGAAGAUAUGAGAAUGACUGUUUUACUUUGAUCAAAUUAAUUAAUUAAUGUGGCUAGAGGAUGGUUUUGUGUUAGUCGGCUCUUAAAUAUGAUGUGCGUUGUGAAUUGCGAUAUCAUGAUGAGACAUGAUUUAUAUGUUGGAUGGGAGAGAUAUCAUGUUUUCAUGGGGAUUGGUUAUGUAGCCGAGUCUCCGAAUUACAUGUUGUCAGGUUAUAUUGAAUGAUUGAGGAAUACUUUGCUUUUCUGCUUGAACUUAGUGGAAUAAACGUUUGAUUUUGUGA